GUAGGUGGCAAGCGUUGUCCGGAAUUAUUGGGCGUAAGGCGCGCGCAGGCGGUUCUUUAAGUCUGAUGUGAAAGCCCACGGCUCAACCGUGGAGGGUCAUUGGAAACUGGAGAACUUGAGUACAGAAGAGGAAAGCGGAAUUCCACGUGUAGCGGUGAAAUGCGUAGAGAUGUGGAGGAACACCAGUGGCGAAGGCGGCUUUCUGGUCUGUAACUGACGCUGGGGCGCGAAAGCGUGGGGAGCAAACAGGGAUUAGAUACCCUGGUAGUCCACGCCGUAAACGAUGAGUGCUAAGUGUUAGGGGGGUUUUCCGCCCCCUUAGUGCUGCAGCUAAUGCAUUAAGCACUCCGCCUGGGAGUACGGCCGCAAGGCUG
Molecule: ribosomal RNA, 374 nt
Filed under: uncultured organism
Description: partial 16S ribosomal RNA
Rfam family: Bacterial small subunit ribosomal RNA
Source: RNAcentral